UUUCGUCCAUAGCAAACCGGGGGCGACCCCGGGACGCAAAGCCACGGAGCGUAGACGGAUCGCUCGCCGGGCUGCCGAU
RNAcentral lists this non-coding RNA (79 nucleotides) under Elusimicrobiota bacterium. RNAcentral describes it as "Elusimicrobia bacterium c-di-GMP sequence". It matches the Rfam family "c-di-GMP-I riboswitch aptamer". From Rfam's summary of the family: GEMM was predicted in a large-scale screen for bacterial structured RNA regulatory elements. The record is from RNAcentral. Lineage: Bacteria; Pseudomonadati; Elusimicrobiota.